GACGAACGCUGGCGGCGUGCUUAACACAUGCAAGUCGAACGAUGAACCCGGAGCUUGCUCCGGCGGAUUAGUGGCGAACGGGUGAGUAACACGUGAGUAACCUGCCCUUGACUCUGGGAUAACUGCGGGAAACUGUAGCUAAUACCGGAUACGACCCUCGGCGGCAUCGCCAGGGGGUGGAAAGAAUUUCGGUCAAGGAUGGACUCGCGGCCUAUCAGCUCGUUGGUGAGGUAACGGCUCACCAAGGCGACGACGGGUAGCCGGCCUGAGAGGGUGACCGGCCACACUGGGACUGAGACACGGCCCAGACUCCUCCGGGAGGCAGCAGUGGGGAAUAUUGCACAAUGGGCGCAAGCCUGAUGCAGCAACGCCGCGUGAGGGAUGACGGCCUUCGGGUUGUAAACCUCUUUUAGUAGGGAAGAAGCGAAAGUGACGGUACCUGCAGAAAAAGCACCGGCUAACUACGUGCCAGCCGCCGCCGUAA
RNAcentral lists this ribosomal RNA (484 nucleotides) under uncultured bacterium. RNAcentral's name for it is "partial 16S ribosomal RNA". It matches the Rfam family "Bacterial small subunit ribosomal RNA", at positions 28 to 523 of the family's 1533-position model. The record is from RNAcentral.